GACGAACGCUGGCGGCGUGCUUAACACAUGCAAGUCGAACGGAAAGGCCCUGCUUUUGUGGGGUGCUCGAGUGGCGAACGGGUGAGUAACACGUGAGUAACCUGCCCUUGACUUUGGGAUAACUUCAGGAAACUGGGGCUAAUACCGGAUAGGAUCUCCUGCUGCAUGGUGGGGGUUGGAAAGUUUCGGCGGUUGGGGAUGGACUCGCGGCUUAUCCGCUUGUUGGUGGGGUAGUGGCUUACGAAGGCUGUGACGGGUAGCCGGCCUGGGAGGGGUACCGGGCACAAUGGGACUAAGAGACGGACCAGAAGCCUACGGGAGGCAGCAGGGGGGAAUAUUGCACAAUGGGCGGAAGUCUGAUGCAGCGACGCCGCGUGCGGGAUGACGGCCUUCGGGGUGUAAACCGCUGUCGCCUGUGACGAAGCGUGAGUGACGGUAAUGGGUAAAGAAGCACCGGCUAACUACGUG
RNAcentral lists this ribosomal RNA (468 nucleotides) under uncultured bacterium. Its description in RNAcentral is "partial 16S ribosomal RNA". It matches the Rfam family "Bacterial small subunit ribosomal RNA", at positions 28 to 507 of the family's 1533-position model. The record is from RNAcentral.